RNAcentral lists this long non-coding RNA (14642 nucleotides) under Triticum aestivum (bread wheat). RNAcentral describes it as "long non-coding RNA (TAES_LNC019275)". Lineage: Eukaryota; Viridiplantae; Streptophyta; Magnoliopsida; Poales; Poaceae. The record is from RNAcentral.
CCCUGCAUCCCCUAUGCACGCGGCAAUGGCGCCAACCCGCCGGCGGCCUGCUGCAGCGGCGUUAGGAGUCUGGCCAGCUCAGCCCGGAGCACCGCUGACAAGCAAGCGGCGUGCAAGUGCAUCAAGAGCGCUGCUGCUGGGCUCAUCCCUGGCAAGGCCGCCGGCAUCCCCACAAAGUGUGGCGUUAGCGUCCCCUACGCCAUCAGCUCUUCGGUCGACUGCUCUAAGAUUCGCUGAUCAAGCACCUGCUGCCAUCGUUGCUGCCUAUAACUCCAUUGAUCUACGCUUAGUACGUUGAGGUCACACACACACACACAUACAUAUAUAUGAAUAAAUGCUAUCAUAUUAUCUCACUGCGUGAGAGAGAGAGGAGUACGUACGUCCAGCCAGCGCAUGGCCGGUCACACUGUUGUAUCGAUGUUUGGUUGUUCCUCCACUCCCUGAGUUUGGUGUACUUUGUACCAUGUGUACUUUUGAUAUAUGGAUUGUAUACUCAGCUGAUCAGCUCUUUUUUUUUUCAACCGGGUGUGCCCCUUUCCAUUAAAAUAAACGGAAAUACAACAGUCUCCGAUACAGCCAGGAAGCAAGGAAAGAGGAGCAGCGAGUUCAACGCACUGCCAGAAAACCCACUGUGCUCGCCCGCCAUCGAAACGAGCACGAUGGGGCGAAAACCUGACAGCACCUACUUAGUUUGAGUCUAGCUAUUACAAACCAGGGGAAAAGGCACAAACACGAGGUGCCAGAAGAACAUAAAGCAUGUAGACUUUCAAAAGUUACCCAAACGUGGAGCCUGAGACUUAGACCCUAGCACAACGCCCCCUAUCACAACCAGGGCAGAAUGUAGAGCACAUCAGCAGCAUCAUCCAGAGAACACCUCACCCUCGUCUCCCGUCGCGCGCCUGGCCCCUUCACACAUGGCCAUCAACUUGGUUGUGCUCGCUCUAAUCAUCUAAGCUCCGAGUCGCAAUCUUGCCACUUCUUCCACCGGCUGAAGACCUGCCCAAUACAAGAGAAACGAACAAGCCGAAUACACAAUCUCAAAUGGAGAUUUGAUCAAUUGUUUUUCAAAAGUAGCCUUAUUACGCGCAAGCCAAAUAGCCCAAGUUAGUGCCGCCAAACCAACAGUAUAAAAUCUAGAUUCAUUGGGUAGGAACAUAUUACACCACACAUAGAAUUGCCAGUUGUUAUUCGGGCAUAAUUCAGUCCCCAACACAACUCCAACUGUCCAGACAACACGCGCCACAGGACACGUAAAGAACAGGUGGGACGCAGUUUCAAUAUUGUUACAGAAGGUACACACAGGGUUCCCCGGCCAUUUUUUCCUCCUCAUCACCGCUCUAGUGAGCACCGCAUCUUGAGCCAUCUGGCACAAGAAAAUAUGUAUCUUAAGAGGUAGUUUCGCCUCCCAGAUCCAUCUAUACUUGCUUCCGUGAAGAGGUUUUUCCAGCCAAUUAUACAUAGAUUUAGUGGAGUACUUAGCAUUCUUACUCAAAACCCAAAACACUACAUCUUCCUCAGCUGUAGUCUUAAGCCCCAAGAUGUACUGUCGUACCCUAUCCCACUGUUCUCUAAGAUUAGGGCAUAGACGCCUUCUAAAAAAGGUCGAAGUCUCUACCUUGUUAAAGUUUUGGACCGUACAAUCCUGAUCUGUACAGAUUUCAAACAGCCGAGGGAACCUCGAAUUGAGUGGGGGCAGCUCCUCAAUUGAGUCUUUCCACACCCUGCUCAGGUUGCCGCAUCCUAGUUUAAUCUUUCUCCCCAUCAUGUACAACUCCCUGACUUUCAGAAGAGAUUUCCAGCAUGGGGAGUCAGAUUGUCUAGGUUGCACAGUUGCCACCGACUUGUUUUGUAUAUAUCUGGCUCUCACCAAGUUUUGCCAAACUGCAGUUUGGGUUUCUAAUUUCCACCACCAUUUUACCAUCAGGCUGAUGUUUUGUUUCCUGAGAUCUUCGAUGCCCAGAACCCCUUUGCCGUUCAAUCUACACACCUUCUUCCAUUUGACCAGGUAAUAUCUAUUCUUCUUAUUGCACCCAUGCCAGAAAAAUUUACGACGGUGCUUAUCCAGCCUUUCUAUGAAAGUUUUACUCAUAAGCCACAUGGACAUAUGAUAUAAAGAUAGCUGCGACAGUACCGAGGUAAGCAAAGUAAGUCUGUCCCCCGCUGGAUGCAGCAUUACCAAUCCAGGACCAGAAACACUUAAGGUAUUUAUCUACAAUAAAUUCCCACACUGAAUCUUUAAGGGUUGUGAAACUCACAGGCAUACCAAGAUAUUUAAUUGGAAAGUGCCCAAUCUCGCAGUUAAAGAUCUCGGCAUACUUGCUAUCAAUGUCAGUGUCCCCUCCGACAGUCAUGAUCUCGCUCUUCUGGAAGUUUACUUUUCAGUCCAGACAUGAGUUCGAACAUGUAUAAGAGGAGCUUCAGAUUUAAUGCUUUGUCCACAUCAUGCUCGAGGCAAAUGAUCGUGUCAUCUGCGUAUUGCAGAACUACCACCCCAUUCGGGACAAGAUCAGAUGCUAGUCCAGUUAGGAGGCCAUUCUGCUGCGCUUUACAGAUCAUCUUGUUGAGGCAUUCUACAGCUAGUUUGAACAAAAAGGGGGAGUGGGGGUCUCCUUGGCGCACCCCUUUGGCACUGAAAAUAUGGGCCCACUGAGUUGUUAAGCUUGAUACUAACAGUACCAUUGUAUAGGAUUUGAUUCACCCACCCACACCAGGUUUCAUUGAAGCCCCUCAUUAUGUGGCAAUCCAACAGAAACUCCCAGUUAACCUUGUCGUAUGCUUUCUCGAAGUCGAGCUUAAGCACCACCCCUACUUUUUUCUUGACAUGGGUGUAAUUGAGGAGCUCAUGUAAAGUCAUGAUCCCAUCCAUAAUAUUCCUCCCUUUUACAAAAGCAUUUUGUGACAAGCUUAUCAGUUUGUCAGCAUAUUUUUCUACUCUCCGAUCCAUAGUCUUAGUAAUCAGUUUAUAUGGGCACCUAAGGAGACAAAUAGGCCGAAAUUGCUGAAUAAGAUCCGCACCUGACACUUUUGGGAGAAGAGUAAUCACCCCAUAAUUAAGGCGCUGCACGUCAAGCGUUCCAGCAUGGAAGUGGCUGAACAGCCGCAUAAUGUCACUUUUGACAAUGUUCCAGCAAUGUUGAUAAAACUCCGCAGGAAUAUUAUCAGGGCCAGGUGCUCUAUUGACAUCCAUUGCAAACAAGGCCUCUUUCACCUCCUCUUCUGAGAAGAUUCUAGUCAGAUCAAUAUUAUCCUUGUGAGUAAGUUUUUCUGAUUCAUCCCACGAGCCAGGGUCCAUGUGAAACAAGUUGCCCGGGGAGUGGGGGUCUCCUCAGCUGAUCAGCUCUACUUGCGUGCGCAUGUUAUUCAGCACUUUUGAUAUAUGCAAGACUGGGAAAGCAUUCCAUUCCAGUUUCUUGCUCCAAGCAAGACGUAGGAAUGAACCCAAUUUACUAGGAAUGGAACUAUGACAUUUCACUCAUUUUGGUUCCUCAACUAAACACACCCUAAAACUGUUUGAGAACACACAUAAUUCUAGUGAAUGCAAUCACCAACAAAAACUCGUACUGGCUUAAUUCUAAGAAAUCGGAAUAUAUAUAGAACUGCUUAAUUCACCAUCAUCCAACACACAGCAAUAUACUUCUAGUUCUAGACAGUUAAGAUAAAUUACAAACACUGUACAUGAAAGAUCAGCCAGCGAGAUGCCAAUUAAUUAAACACUGGUUGUUAGCUUGUAGUGCAACGAAAAAUUGGAAUACUCUUGGUUGUGAUAGUACGUACAAUAUACUUUAUGUUUGUUAUAAAUUGAUCGGAGAGUAUGAAAUUGUAAUUAUGGAUCCAAUCACAGUAAUAAACCGGCGUUCUGACAGGGUUCGACAUAAGAAAGCUGAGUGGACUACAGCACUAAAUGCUUGCACAAAUAGAAAGUUAAUAUCUACUUUUCGCUACAGGUGGACCAUGGGAGUAAUAGAAUUUUCUCCUUAUUUGAGUCAAGUUCUCUCCAUGCUAAGUUGAGUCAGGUGUUUGAAUUUUUCCAAAAAUAUACUAUACCUGGAAUAUAUUUAUAUAUAAGUAUUUAGACUGAAGUUCGACCUUUUUCAUCUCAACAUAGCUGGAUCCGUAUAUGGCUUAAGUUACAGUGGGAUGAUCAAUUUCCUUUUUCUAUCUUCUGUCCUCAUUCACGUAAAAAAAAAAGACAGUCAUGGGUAACUUUUGACGGGAAAAAAGAUGAUGCUUAUUUAGUUUAUGAAAAACAGUUUCGACGAUGACUUUCCCAACAAUGACGGUUGGUAAAGCCUUUAACUAUAAUAUGUUGUUUUUGUGUUUAAUUGACAGAAUCGCAGGAUCAAUUCAGCAAAGAAAUAAUGUAAUGUGACCUAAAUAAGCAAACAUAACUUGCCACUGGUAGAAAAAAGGCCUUUAGUCCCGGUUCGCAAAGGCCUUUAGUCCCGGCUGUGCAACCGGGACUAAAUAUGCGCGACUAAAGACCCCCCUUUAGUCGCGCCUCUUACGAACCGCGACUAAAGGCUUUAUUCCCGGUUCUCGUGGCAAACCGGGACUAAAGGCCCGUCCUUUAGUCCCGGUUCUCGUGGCUAACCGGGACUAAAGGCCUCCUCCGCAGAUUUAAACCUGGUUUUUUUGCGAAUUUUUUUAUUUUAUUUUAUUUUCAAAUUUCUGAAUUAUUUUAACCUCUAACCUCUAAUCUCUAAUCACCACCCCUCAUCACUGCUAGCACGCUUAACUUCCGGGUUUUAUUCUCCCUCGUUUCCAAGUCUGCACUUGUUGUUUUCCUGACAAUAGUAGGAUGUCAAUUCUAUUAACCCUCAGGAAUUUAGCUUGAGCACGAAGUGACACAUUUCACUGUUUGAGUUUGAAACUAUUGUUUUAAAAAACAAUAAUUAUUUAGUAACACUAAUACUUCUGGAAUAAUUAGUUUGACCAUUGUUUGACCACUGUUUGACCACAGUUUGACCAGAUUUGACGAAAAUUUAAAAAAACUGAAAUAAUUAUUUAGUAACACUAAUAUUCUAGAAUAAUUAGUUUGACCAUUGUUUGACCACAGUUUGACCACAAUUUGAAUUUUUUUGCCUCUCCAGAUCUUAAAAGCCCCGUAUCUUUUUUUCUGUUAGGUUUUUUCUGUUAAAUUCGGAUGUAACUUCUCGAGUAGAUGAUUUUUCAUAUAAAAAACUUUUUCAUCCGAGUUCGUAUGCAAAAGUUAUGCCCAUUUUAAGAAUUUCCAGAGAGAUUUUGCAAAUAAAGUCGAAAUUCAUAUUUGUUAAUUUUCCCAACAACUAGACCACAUAUCACAUGAGAAACUUAUUUUAUUUUAUUUUUUUGACAUUUCCACCAUUUUCUUUUGUUUUUUCUAAAACUGNNNNNNNNNNNNNNNNNNNNNNNNNNNNNNNNNNNNNNNNNNNNNNNNNNNNNNNNNNNNNNNNNNNNNNNNNNNNNNNNNNNNNNNNNNNNNNNNNNNNNNNNNNNNNNNNNNNNNNNNNNNNNNNNNNNNNNNNNNNNNNNNNNNNNNNNNNNNNNNNNNNNNNNNNNNNNNNNNNNNNNNNNNNNNNNNNNNNNNNNNNNNNNNNNNNNNNNNNNNNNNNNNNNNNNNNNNNNNNNNNNNNNNNNNNNNNNNNNNNNNNNNNNNNNNNNNNNNNNNNNNNNNNNNNNNNNNNNNNNNNNNNNNNNNNNNNNNNNNNNNNNNNNNNNNNNNNNNNNNNNNNNNNNNNNNNNNNNNNNNNNNNNNNNNNNNNNNNNNNNNNNNNNNNNNNNNNNNNNNNNNNNNNNNNNNNNNNNNNNNNNNNNNNNNNNNNNNNNNNNNNNNNNNNNNNNNCGACUAAAGGUUCGGGCCAUUAGUCGUGGUUGGCCAGACCAACCGGGACUAAAGGUCUAACCUUUAGUCCCGGUUGGUCUGGCCAACCGCGACUAAAGGCCUUCGGGCCAGCCUGAGGACCUUUAGUCCCGGUUGGCCAGGCCAACCGGGACUAAAGCCCCUCCCGUCCGCCAGCUGUCGACCGAGCGCGCUGGGCCCAGAUAGUUGGUCGCGGGUCUCCUCCCGAACCGCGACUAAAGACCCCUUUGGUCGCGGUUCGAUUAUUUUGGGGACUAAUGGGGGCGUAUGGAAGCCUCUUUUUCUACUAGUGUGCGGCAAUACACAAUUUAUUUUCAUUUCCUGGUCGAGAGAUGUAUUCACUGCCUGCAUUGCGACUAUAAAUUGCACGGAUUUUUCUUAUUGUUUCAGGCAUUUCGGAUUGAAUAUUAAGAACUCUAAUUGGACACUGUUUGAAUAUUAUAAAGAUUAAUGCCAUUGUAAGUCUAUGUUAUCAAUUACUUUUGUAGUUUUAGUAAAUUUUAGUGAUAGCCUUCAGCUUGGAGUACGUGCACUAAUUGCUUAUGGUAUAAAAAAUAAUAAGAAAGUUAUGUUGUGUCAUAUCGAAAGUGGAUAGUUGAUUGUCAGCUGCUUGCCAAUAUCGUACAACCACAUAAUUUCAGUCUUUUUUCCAUAAAAAACUGUACUCCCUCCCUCCAACGAAUAAUAAGUGUCGCAUCUUUGAACUAAGGUUGAACUAACCUUAAUUCAAAGCCGCUGUUAGAAGGGAGAGGGAGAUUGGUGGAAUAGUUCAUUGUAUUGCUUGAACCUCGUGGGCAUAUAUAUAGAAGUACAAUCAUCUACUUGGAGUACAAGACAAACCAGAACAAAUCCUAGACUAUCUCGUCUUUCCUAAUAAACAUUAUACUCAACAUCCCCCCGUAGCAGCGCAGACGGUGAGACUGGAGAAGAAUCCGGAGGCAAGCCGACGGACACUCCCCCACAGUCGUAAUGGUCGACGCAUCGCGGAAGUCGUGGUCGGAGUGUAAACCGACGAGGUUGCUCAAGCAAGGCGGUAGCCCUUUGUGACGUUUGUCGAGGUAGCCAAGAGCGUAUGUGGUGUAGCCGUGGUCCAGGUAAUCGUGCGAAGAAUGCCAUGGUCGAUGUCGAGUCGGGGUAGCUGGUAUCGAGGAAGUCGCCGUGGAGCCACAGGCGCAAGGAGGCGCCGAGUUAGUCAUGGGCGCAGUGGUGUCGAAGUAGUGGUGCGCCAAAAAGGAGACAAUGUCGAUGAGGCGUCGCGCCGGGUUUGCCAAACCUGAGGACACGUCGUAGACGAAGGCACACAUCGGUGUUGGCAGCACCGGGCAUGCGUAGACGGACGAAGACGAAGUUGACGAAACGUCGCUCCAGGCUCGCCAGACCCGGGGACACGUCGUUGGCGAAGGAACGCAUCGGUGUUGCCAACACCGGGCAUGCGUAGACAGGGACCUGCAUGAGCUGUACGCCAUGUCGGAGAAGUCGAAGAGGCUAGGAGAGAAGGACUCAACGACGGUUGAGGUGCCAAUCGGCGCGGGGCCAAUGUCGCCCGCGGUUGUCUGAGUAGACGAAGCAGUUGGGAUAGAUGACGGCGAUGAUGGCGACGCGCUGGUGCUGGACGAAGAAGGGGGGAGGCGCGGCGGCUACGGAGGUAGCUGCGGCGGCCGAAGAGGAGCGGCGGCGACGGCCUUACGGCAGCCGCCGCGGCUAGGUUAGGAGCGCGGCAGUGGUGCUGGAAGUAUGCGAGGAACCCGACAACAUGACGAAGACUGGCGCGGACAAUGGCGUUCCCGCACCGAGGGAGGCGGCGCAGCGCAUACCACGAGAAGUCGACGCGCGGAGACGACGUAGUGGACCGCGGGCUGCGACGCGACGGCCCGAAGGGGCGAUGCAGUGGCGGCGGGCAUGCCAGGGCGACGGUGGGAAGACCUCGGGGCGGCGGCGCUACAGCCCGAAGGGGCGGCGCAGCGGUGGAGCGCGAGUCGGUGCAACCGCGGGGACGACCUCGGGAUGGCGGCGUGGACCGCAUGCCACGUUCGCUACGGCCUGACGGGGCGACGCAGCGGUGGCGCGAGGGUUGGUGCAACCGCGGAGAUGACCUGAAGCGGACGACCUCGGGGCGGCGGCGGACCGCGGGCCACGGGACUACGGUCCGAAGGGACGACGCAGCGGUGACGCGGGUCGAUGCGGGCGGAAGAAGAACCAUGGGGUGGCGGCGCUGCAGCCCGAUGAGGCGACGUAGCGGUAGCUCGUUGCUGGAUCGGUGGAGGAGCGCUUAUACUCAGUGACGAUCUUCACAAAAUACCACCAAGACGUCCACCUAUUGUUGAUCAGACCGAAGAUACUGUUGGCCCAGUCCCGACGCCAAGUACUUCCGGCGACCGCGAUACACCGACAACGAACGACGAUGAUGAACGAAGCUCGCUGAUGAACUCGACGAUUUACAUUACGCGGAGACGCACCGUAGUACAAAGCUGGCCUCCUGAUCGUGAUCGAUCCACCACACCAAGAUGGCUCCUGGAACACACGCACGUACAACAACUGAGAUCGUUGCGUUGCUUUGAUCGAUUCUGGCUGUUUUCUAAUAUACAUGUACGCGAGGAAGCCGGCGUAUUGCCACAGGCUCGUAUCGAGCCUGUUUGCUUUCACAAAUCACAGUUACAAAGUACAGGGGCAGGUUACCUAUAUAUAUUAGUAAUAGCUAGCCUAGACAGACCUGUUCGGUGAUGAUCAAGAAUCCUACACGGACACCUAUACGUAAACGUGCACACAGCCGGACACGGAUACAUAUUGUCGUGUUUAACUCUAACAAUCACCCCCCUAAACACGACGUCGUCAUGUCACUCGGACGCCGAUACUACAAGGAGCCGCGCAAGCAACCUCGCCUCCGAAGGCAAUGGAGGAAAAGGCAUCAUCACCUACACCUGUACUGCUACAACCGGUGUUACACCCAUAUCCGGAGAGGACUUUUUGGACGAUUGACCAGGUAAAAGUGAAAGGGAGUGGGCGACGGUGUCUAGCAAGCGGCGAGGAACCGGCGGAUUUUGAGGAUGCGAACACAAAGGAGUGUUGGCGUCAGGCUAUCGAAGUGGAGUUGAGGUCGAUCCACGACAACAAUGCAUGGGAGCUUGUAGAUCUUCCCAACAAUGAAAGAGCCAUGGAUCUCAAGUGGGAAUUUUUGAUCAAGAAAGAUGCCGAUGGGUCCGUGAAGCACAAAGCGAAGCUAGUAGCCAAAGAGUACGUGCAAGAAGAAAGUGUGCACUUCGAAGAUGUGUUCAUUCCCGUUGCAAGGAUGGAUUCUAUGAUAUUGCUCAUCGCUCUCGCGGUUCAAGAAUCAUGGAGCAUACAUCGCAUGGAUGUAAAAUCCGCGUUUUUUAACGGAGAGUUAGAAGGAGAGGUUUAUGUGAACCAGCCACCGGGGUUCAUCAAAGAAGGACAAGAGCACAAGGUACUGAAGCUACACAAAGUCUUGUACGGGCUACACCAAGGCUCCUGGGCAUGGAGCAUCAAACUUGAUCGGAUUUUGAUUUCUCUUGGAUUUGAGAAAGCCCCACUAGAGCAUACAAUGUACAAGAGAGGUGAAGGAAGGGAUCGUCUACUAGUUGGCAUCUACGUCGACGACCUAUUGAUAACUGGAGCAGAUGAAGAGGUGAUUGCAAAGUUCAAGCUACAAAUGAAGGAGCUUUUCAAGAUGGAUGAUCUUGGUAUUUUGCGUUGGAACCUCGGGAUUAGGGUACAUAAAAAACCGGAGGGGAUCAAACUAUGCCAGGAGGCAUAUGCAAGGAAGGUACUUGAAAGCCGUGGCGUGAAAGAUUGCAAUCAUAUUGUCGCUUCAAUGGAACCUCGUCUUGAGCUAAGCAAGAAGGAGAUGGUGAAUCUACUCGACUACAGUGGUAGUGACAAGGAAGGGAUUGUUGACGACCAUAAGAGUACCUCAGUCGUGGCAUAUUUUUCUUGGUGGAAGCAUAGUAAGCUGGCUAUCACGAAAGCAUAAAGUGGUGACAUCGACUUCAAGUGAAGCAGAGUGUCAAGGUGUGUGGCUAAGGAGGCUACACGGUGAUCUCAUGAAUCGAGAUUGGGAACAAGUGGUGCUCAACGUUGAUAGUGAGUCUAUAGCUUUUCUAGCAGAGAAUCCAGUGCAGCAUAGCAGGAGCAGGCACAUUGAUACGAUGUAUCAUUACACAAAGGAUUGUGUGGAAGAAGGUAAGACGAAGGUCAACUACGUUCGCACCGAUGAUCAGCUGGCGGACAUCCUGACCAAUGCUUUGGAUCGAGAGAAGCUCUUAGAGAUGCAGAGAAGGAUCGACGUCUAUGCAGUGACGUGACGACGUCGUGUUUAGGGGGGUGAUUGUUGGAAUUAAACACGACAACUUGUGUCCGUGUCCGAUGUAGUUCAUGUAUACAAGUACGUGUCCUUGUAGGUUUCUACCUGAUCACCGAAUAUGAUUAGACUAGUUGUAGCUAGUAUAUAUAAUCCUGUACCCCUGGCUUGUAAGAACCGUGAGUUGAGGAGAUCAAUAAAGAAAAGGCCAGGAGCGACAAGCCCCUGUUGGCAAUCAAUAUUGGUUUCGCGUGCGUGCGUGUGUAUUGGCUAGAAUCGAUCAAGUGAAGGAAUCGUUCUGGUUGCUAGCUUAGCUUCGGCUAAUCGCAGGUAGUACACAGCUGGAAGUAAUCAGCUCGUGUGCUAUCCCGGUACGCGCACGUCUUGCAAACUUGGGGCUGAAGCCAAGAUAGUCAGCGAGCUUUGGUCGUCAUCGUUGUUGGUCGUCGGUCGUCGCCGUCGUCGGAAAGUACUCGACGUCGGGUCUGGGCCAACAGAUACGACAGAUGAGAACGAGAAGAUGCAGACUGGCGACGAGGUGCCGACGACAUGCUUGGCAGCCGGAGAGGGCAGAAGGGGCACGCGGCUACAGGGCACCAGCGGCACGCGUCCACGCAGCCGGAGUAUCCAUGAGCGCGCAACCGACGAUGUGUGGUGCAUGAAAACUAAUCGUAUAUGCACGAAAGCCACGAAGGCUGAUCGUACAUGUAAACAAGCAGCCCACGCGGAAUACAUCAUCCGGAAAGAGCAGCCGUAUGUGGAACUUGAGCAGCCAACAACGCAGCACAGACGCACGAGAAAUCGAUCUCGCCUACGUUGGGCACGUUAGCGCUUGAGUGAUCCUGGGCGUAUGGUACCGGAGACGGCGAACAGCAGAACCGGAGACGGCGACCAGCAGAACCGUGCCCAAAUACCGGAGAAGACUAGAAAGUCGAUGUAAGUUGGUUUUUUAACUUUGCCCAAAGAAGUUGGGUUUUCAAUUCCUUGUAGCUGUACAAGAUAGGAGGUGUGUGUGAAAUGAGAGGCCGGAGAAGGAAAAUGACAUAUUUUAAUGACCUGGACAGCAGAGGUUGGCCGUUGGCCCCAUUUAUUAUGCCAGUGAUAUUAUACACAUCUACUACAUCGUGGGUGUGUCUAGAGACGAUUUGGUCCAUGCUUGCACAAUGAUUGCCGACGAUUUGAGGAGCUCGAUGUGCCGACCAAAACAACGUGGGUGUGUCUAGAGACGGAGGGAAAACUUCCGGAGCUGAUAGCAUUGUAAAUUUAGUUACCACUCCCUCUGUUCACGGAUAAGUAUACAUAAAUUUUUUUAAGACAUAUUAUUGAUCUUGAUUACCGUAUGACGAGAUAGAAACGUUUUUUUUUCUUUUUUAAAGUCCAUUGAGAAGUUUUUUUAAGGGGCGCUUUAUUAUUUAAGAGGUUUAAGCAUUACACCCGGCCUCUGCAUAACUAAGAUACACAUAGCCAACAAAGUCCUCACGACAAGCCAAAAUAAAAAACAAAGGCGGAAUACAAAGAUGAAUAUCUGUAUGACACCUAAAAGGUAAGAGGGCCAAUCCUAAGAUCAUGCUGCCACCCAUGUUGGGUAAAAAUAUCCCUUGCUGCAGCCUCCAAUCAUGUACACACCUCCGUAAAUAGGUCUUGAUUCUCCACUUGCUGCAGAGGGGACCAUAAACGAAACGUCCCGAUACAUCUGUAGAUAACCUGCAUAAGGGAAGUACUUUUAUCAUUAAAAACCUUAUCAUUUCUACAUAGCCAAAGCGACCAAAUCACAGCAAGCACUCCCACCCUGAGAAGAAUUCUAAACUUGUGAUCAAUCCCAUGUAACCAGUUGCCAAAUAUAUUAGUAACACUACACUGAGGAUACAAGCCAGAAGCUAUCUGGAUGACUGACCAUAUAGAACGAGCCAAUUUAUAAUGGAAGAACAAAUGUUUUAUUCAUGCGGACAAAAUACACAUUGCGUACUUCCGUGCCAUUCCUCUUAAUAAGGUUAUCUUUAGUAAGAAUAACUCCGCGACGAUGAUACCACGCAAAGAUUUUAUUAUUAAGGGGUAUCUUCAUCUUUCAGAUCUUCUUAUUAUUAUCAACUAGCACAUCUGACUGGAUCAGAGCUCUAUAUAUAGACUCCACUGAGAACUGCCAAUUCCCAUGUAGGUUCCAACGAAAGAUAUCGGACCCUUGUGACAACUGUACCGUGGUUAACCAUUGGAGCAGUAUGUUCCACGAUUGGAGUCUAGGUCCAAUUAAAUCCUUUCUGAACGUCACAUUUGGCGGAAAUGAUUCUAAAACCUUGGCAAUAGUAUCAUCCUUGUGACGCAUAAUAUUGUACAGAGCUGGAUAUUGUUCCCGGAGAUUAGCAUUACCUAGCCACUUAUCCUCUCAGAAUCUAAUUUCCGAGCCAUCCUUAACUAAGAAGGAACCAUAGCGGAAGAAAUAUUUCUUCGUUGCCAUUAGUCCGGCCCAAAAAUGAGAGUCCCCAGGCUUCUAGUAUACAUGGGAUACCGCCUUAGAACCCACAUAGUUUCUCCUUAGGAGGGUUUUCCAUACAUCAUGUUCCGUCAACAAGUUAAACAACCAUUUGCCGAGGAGGGCCAUGUUCUUAACCUCAAGGUCAUGAAUUCCCAACCCGCCUUGGUCCUUGGGACGGCAAACCACACUCCAUUUAGCCAGCCGAUAUUUUUCUCUCUCGCUAUCUCCUUGCCAAAAGAAUCUCGAUCGGAAGUAAUCCAAUCUAUGUAAUGCUCCUUUCGGCAAUUGAAAGAAGGAAAUCAUAUAUAGUACCAUGUUAUUUAGUACUGAAUUUAUGAGGACCAACCUUCUAUCCAGAGAUAGCAAUUUACCUUUCGAACUACUUAGUCUUUUUUGUAGUCUCUCCUCGACGUGUUUCCAUUCAGUAUUUGUGAGUCUCUGAUAAUAUAUCGGUAUCCCCAAAUAAGUGAUCGGAAAUUGGCCCAAUCCGCAUCCAUUGAAAAGAUAGAAGUACUCCAACCUCAUUCCUAGUAGCGCCACUUAUCGAUCAGAAAACCAUAGAUAGCAGCGCAAAAAAAAAAAUAGAUAGCAGCGGUACAACGCACCCAUAUUCCGCUAUAGGAUCCUGAUGCGCCAAAGCCACUUGCAUAAUAAAGAUAAUAUUUUGUAAAACAGAAGCGGAAUACGGGUGCACCGUGCCGUACAUAGUCAUGGUAAAUUUACCCCAAAGACAUGUCUUCAUAUAAACUAAAUUAAUCAUUAAAAUGCAGCUCUGAAUAUUGCAUCAAUGAAGGUGAUUGAUCGAUGGCCCUGCACGACCACAUGCAGCGUCAGAUUGGUAUAGUUCACCGGUCGAGCUAACCAAAUUAAUGCACUCAACCACUCCACAGUCGGUCAUUAUGAGAGUACAUGUUGUUAUUAAUCCGCGCUGCACAUGCUAAUCAACCACACUCCACCGGUAGGUAUGCAUGCUUUGUCGAUCCAUGGGCCCAACCCAACAUCCAACCGUCUCCCAAAUGCUUUAAUAUACCCAGCAAACCAAUCCAACAUCCAGCGACCAAAAUUUAUGCAUUGGCUCACACCAAUCGGAUUUAUCCCUGUGGACGCAAUACUUGCCACAAUCACAGUAUACAGUUACUACUACAAAUGGUAUCGCAUGUUGGUUAGCAACCCUAUUUAAGCCCAUGCACCCCCUACGAAACACCUCACCGGUACAAUCACUUAGCAAAUCUAGCCUCUCACCAUCUCCAGCUGAGUUCAACACGAUUACUACUGCAAACUCGAUAGGGAUGGCUCGCGGUGCAGCUAUUCCGCUCGUGCUGGUCGCCAUGGUGGCCACUAUGCUCCUCGUAGCCACCGACGCGGCCAUCUCCUGCGGUCAGGUGACCUCCGCCUUGAGCCCCUGCAUCUCCUAUGCCCGCGGCAAUGGCGCCAACCCGACUGCUGCCUGCUGCAGCGGUGUCAGGAGUCUGGCCGGGGCAGCCCGGAGCACCGCUGACAAGCAAGCGGCGUGCAAGUGCAUCAAGAGCGCUGCCGGUGGGCUCAACGCUGGCAAGGCCGCCGGCAUCCCCUCCAAGUGCGGCGUCAGCGUCCCAUAUGCAAUCAGCGCUAACGUCGACUGCUCUAAGAUUCGCUGAUCAACCACUGCCCACCAUGGCUGCCGUCCAUAGCGCCAUCCAUCACCGCUGAGUAUGCUGAGGUCUCUAAUACAUAUGAAUAAAUGCUCUGAUCUGAUCUCCAUGUGAGGGAGAAAGGAGUGCGUACGCCGAGCUAGCUCUGCAUGGCCGGCAACUAUUGUACUACUACUAUGGUUGUUUUUACUUUCACUACCUUUGAGGAGAACCGAGACUUUAUUGUACGUUGUACCGCGUACACUUCCAGUAUAUAUAUGGAUUAUGCUUAUAAUCAUUUUCCUACGUAUUUUAUUCCACAUAAAAACCGUGAGAGACGAUGAAAAUAAACCGAAUUCAUAGGACCUCUUAGGGCUUUAAAUUGCAAGAGAUGGGAUAGCAGUAUAC